This 91-nucleotide microRNA precursor is filed under the name Marmota monax (woodchuck). Lineage: Eukaryota; Metazoa; Chordata; Mammalia; Rodentia; Sciuridae. The record is from RNAcentral.
AGUAAAAUUGUUGGAUCAUAUGGUAAUUCUAUUUUUAGUUUUUUGAAGAAACUCCAUAUUGGUUGCACUAAUUUAUAUUCCCACCAACAGU